This 112-nucleotide ribosomal RNA is filed under the name Cyclobacteriaceae bacterium. Lineage: Bacteria; Pseudomonadati; Bacteroidota; Cytophagia; Cytophagales; Cyclobacteriaceae. The record is from RNAcentral.
UAAGGUGACUAUAGCGGUGGGGCUCACCUCUUCCCAUUCCGAACAGAGAAGUUAAGACCACCAGCGCUGAUGGUACUGCGGUAAAACGUGGGAGAGUAAGUCGUUGCCUUUU